AUUGAACGCUGGCGGCAGGCCUAACACAUGCAAGUCGAACGAGUGGCGGACGGGUGAGUAAUGCCUGGGAAACUGCCUGAUGGAGGGGGAUAACGAAUGGAAACGGUCGCUAAUACCGCAUACCAUCGGAUGUGCCCAGAUGGGAUUAGCUAGUUGGUGGGGUAAAGGCUCACCAAGGCGACGAUCCCUAGCUGGUCUGAGAGGAUGACCAGCCACACUGGAACUGAGACACGGUCCAGACUCCUACGGGAGGCAGCAGUGGGGAAUAUUGCACAAUGGGCGCAAGCCUGAUGCAGCCAUGCCGCGUGUAUGAAGAAGGCCUUCGGGUUGUAAAGUACUUUCAGCGGGGAGGCGUUACCCGCAGAAGAAGCACCGGCUAACUCCGUGCCAGCCGCCGCGGUAAUUC
RNAcentral lists this ribosomal RNA (406 nucleotides) under uncultured bacterium. RNAcentral's name for it is "partial 16S ribosomal RNA". It matches the Rfam family "Bacterial small subunit ribosomal RNA", at positions 30 to 526 of the family's 1533-position model. The record is from RNAcentral.